GCGAAGAGGUCACACCCGUUCCCAUACCGAACACGGAAGUUAAGCUCUUCAGCGCCGAUGGUAGUCGGGGGUUUCCCCCUGUGAGAGUAGGA
Molecule: ribosomal RNA, 92 nt
Filed under: Bacillus sp. MBGLi79
Lineage: Bacteria; Bacillati; Bacillota; Bacilli; Caryophanales; Bacillaceae
Source: RNAcentral